Molecule: long non-coding RNA, 3520 nt
Organism: Monomorium pharaonis (pharaoh ant)
Lineage: Eukaryota; Metazoa; Arthropoda; Insecta; Hymenoptera; Formicidae
Exons: 2
Source: RefSeq, a predicted model, not a curated record
UAAUAUUUACAAAAAAUAAUUUAAACAAAGAUAAUAUCUAUGUGCUUUUGUAAUUAUAUUAUUGUUGAACCGAUUCUUUUCUUUAAUUUCUUUUUUCAGCUUUCGACUCGCAAAAGGUUAACAGCUGGAGAACAAUUUCCUGUGAAGUAGGAUUGUGAAAUUCUGAGAAUGCUAUAUCUUUGAGUGCAGCCUGAUAAGCACAUAUUGAAAUCACAUCCUAACAUUAAAUAUCCAAAUUAAAUAUUAAAUCUGUCAUAUCUGUCAUUAUAGCAGUGGGACGACAAACUGAAGAACAGCAAACAGAAUUUGUUGCCUCUAUUUGUCUCCGCAACAAGUUGUUAUUAAGUUUGGAAAUCAGAUAUGGCAAGCUUUUUUUGAGAAUUGGUUUUUACUGGAGGCAACUGUAACAAAUGGCAAGUUGUGGAACAAAAAUUAAAAGAAGAAUACAAAAUGGAAACAUUAGGUUUAUAAAUUUAUUUCUUUUCCGACUAUUUCGGAUAAGUCGUGCAAGAUUAGUAACAAAUCUAAGUUUGCAUUAUUUUCUACCGUGCUCCAAAUUUUUUGUCAGUGUUCUUCUUUUUUUUUUAAUUAUUACACUUUGGUCGUGCCCAAAAUGUUGGAUGUUUCAACAUGCUGUGAACACUUUUUUGGUGCUCUGUUAAAUUUGCUGUAAGUAAUAUUAAAUUAUAAGUACAUUAAAGAUAUUCUGUAACUAAAUGCAAUAGAGCGUUUACAACUAUAUACAUACUUAGGAAUGUGAUAAUUGUGGAAUGUUUAUUAACUUUAUGUUCGGAUACGUUAUUUGUUCUGUCUAAUUGUUUAUAUACGCAGAACGACUCGGGUUUGAAGCCUUUAAUCCACGUGUCUUUGUAAUAAUUAAAAAAAGGUUGUAGAUGUUGGCAGUUGUUGAAUAUAAUAUGGGCAAUUAUAUUGAAUCCUUCUUCUAUUAAUAGUUUGGGCAACAAGGCCAAAGAUAUUAAUAAUUUUGUUGCACCAAUCCCAAUUCUUUUUAUAUCACCCUUCAGUAUUUGAUGCUUUUUUGCAUUAUGUACCAACGCCUGUAAUUAGUAAGCAAUAUAAGGAAAAUUGGAUAUAUAUUUUAUGUUUAUUAUUAUACGCGUUGUCUUUUAUUAUCUGGCUGUAGUGAAAAAAGCAGCCAAUAACUUUAACGUCAGGAAAAAUCGUUUGCAGCGCAUUUCGUUCUGCUCUCUCAAAAUCUGCUACUGCUAUACGAGGUUUAAUUUUAAUUAUAUUAUUAAUUUUUUUUAAUACUUCUAUAUAAUAUUCGGUAGUGCGGCCUUCCAUUAUAGAAUAAGCAAUAGGAAAUGUCUGAAAUUAGAGAAAAAAAUAAUUUACUCGCAUAUAUAUUUACAUACAGUGUCUUUCAUAAUUACAUGAAGAAAUUAAUAUAUAAUGAAUACAGUUCUGAACUAUUAUUUUACUUACUCUGUCAUUACAUCUAAUAACAAUAGUCGACAAUUAUUGUUAUUUAAUUGCGGCACCAUAGCGAACGUUCCGUCAACAAAAAUACUUAUAUUUUUAUUUGUCAUUUUUGUAAUUGUGUCUGUUAAAUUUACGUCAAUAAAAAUGACAGCCCUGACAUUGUUAUUUUUUUUUACAAAUUCUAUUGUAAAUAAUUUAGUUGUGUCUAUUUGCAAUAGGUCUUUCCAUUUUUUAUCUUGUAAGUUUGCUUCUAAUUCAUUUAAAUUCGUCCAAUACGGUUCUUCUUCUUGAAUCUUUCUAUCGAUUUUUCUACAUUCUUAAUUUUUGUUUGAUCGAGCAGAUUGUCAUAUCUAAAUAUUAAUUAUGCAAAUGUGACCAAUUAUUAUAAUAUAAUACUUAAUUAAAUUUAUAAUAGCAUUUGCUAUCUUCUAUUUUUAUUGUUUCUUUACUCACUUUGUUUAAUUGCUCUUGUUGAUUCAUGUGGGUGUGACGUCUCAAUUUCUUUUUUUAUAUCCGACAGUAUAAAUUUUGGCUUAUCGUGAUUGUUAUGCAUCCCACUUAAAAUAUAAUUGCCAUUUUCUAUUUUUAGGCGUGCUUUACACCUAAUAUUUUUAUUUCUUUGGAAACUACACUCAUAAUAUCUGCGAAAAAAAAUUUAUAUUUAAAUACAUUAAAUUAUGCGUGCUUUAUCUAUGCUGAUUGUAUAAAUAAAUACUUUUUUAAUGUCUUAUUAUUUCUACUAAAUUAUUAUGUAAAAUUAAAAAUUAUAAAAUUAUAAAAAUAAUUGUCAAUUUAUUAGAUUAGAGAAUUAUUACAUAACUUAGUAGAAUGACGUAAAACAGUGUAUUAAUAACGGUUUUUAACGCUUUAAUGACUUCUUUAAACGUUAUUCUACUGCUUGGAAAACUUUUUUUUUAUUUCUAUGUUAUACAAUUAAUUUUAUUUUAAGAUAUAUUUCUUUACUUUGUAUCUCCAUGGGACUUAUUCAAAUAAAAAUGAUAUCCAUCGUGCUCCAAUUUGGACUGCUGGAUUCUUGCAGAAUUGCACUUAACUAUAUCCAUCUCAAAAAAAUAGAAAACCGUGCACACAAUAUAAUAAACAAAGUGGACUUGCCACUGGCUUACUGAUGGCCUAAGGAUGUACAUAAAACAGAAAGCUGGUUAAAAACAAUUGGACGAAGAGAUUUAAUUGGUAAGUUUUAAAAAGUGGAUUAUGAGUUACUCUGUAUAUAAAAAACUUAAAAUAUUUUAUAUUACCAUUUAUUUUAAUUUUUAUAUUAUUCGAUAUACUUAAUUGAAACUUUUUUAUGUUACAGAUUUACCUAAAGAAAAAUUGAGCCAAUUGAGAAUUUGUACUGAACAUUUUUCGGAAGAUAUGUUUAUUGCCCAUAGAGCACGGCGAUGUUUGAAAGAUGACGCACAUCCUAUUUUACACUUAGAGCCAAAUAAUAUUAUUGAUGUUUCAACUUCCGAAAAUGUUCAAGACAAUUCUGAUUUGGUUAAUGACGUAACGAGACUAUAAUUGUUACGUAUAUCUGUUGUCACUAUUUCGUUGCAUAGUUACGUAACAUUUACAUAAUUUUGUUGACGUCAAUAAGCCAAAUGUUAAUGUUUCGUAAAUGUGAUGUUACUAUUGUAAUGUUAUUGCGCCAUCAUGUUUAAUACAUAACAAUUACGUAAUUUUGAUAACGUCAAUGAGCGUAAUAUAAAAAUUUUGUAAAUGCAGCAUAAAUGUAAUAAUGUUAUUGUGACAUCAUGUUUAAUACAUAACAAUUACGUAAUUUUGAUGACGUCAAUGAGCGUAAUAUAAAAAUUUUGUAAAUGCAGCAUAAAUGUGAUAAUGUUAUUGUGACGUCAUGUUUAAUACGUAACAAUUAUGUAAUUUUGAUGACUUCAAUGAGCUUAACAUAAAAGUUUUGUUAAUGUAGCAUAAAUGUGAUAAUGUUAUUACGACAUGAUAUAUCUUUAACACCUUCCGUGCCACGUGAAUCACUGUAAUCCAUUCUGGACUUCCCACUGUUACUAUUAUUACUUAUUAAUUAUUUACUAAGCAUAAGGAGAAAUAUAAUUUUAUUAAA